CCUACGGGAGGCAGCAGUGGGGGAUAUUGCACAAUGGGGGAAACCCUGAUGCAGCGACGCCGCGUGAGUGAAGAAGUAUUUCGGUAUGUAAAGCACUAUCAGCAGGGAAGAAAAUGACAGUACCUGACCACGAAGCCCCUGCGAACUACGUGCCAGCAGCCGCGGUAAUACGUAGGGGGCGAGCGUUAUCCGGAUUUACUGGGUGGAAAGGGAGCGUAGACGGGUAUGUAAGUCUGGAGUGAAAGCCCGGGGCGCAACCUCGGGACUGCUUUGGAUACUGUGUAGCUGGAGUACAGGAGGGGCAGGCGGAAUUCCUGGUGUAGCGGUGAAAUGCGUAGAGAUCAGGAGGAAAACCGGCGGCGAAGGCGGCCUGCUGGACUGAAACUGACGUUGAGGCUCGAAAGCGUGGGGAGCAAACAGGAUUAGAUACCCGAGUAGUC
RNAcentral lists this ribosomal RNA (440 nucleotides) under uncultured bacterium. RNAcentral describes it as "partial 16S ribosomal RNA". It matches the Rfam family "Bacterial small subunit ribosomal RNA", at positions 338 to 795 of the family's 1533-position model. The record is from RNAcentral.